This 66-nucleotide transfer RNA is filed under the name Bryodema luctuosum luctuosum. RNAcentral's name for it is "tRNA-Ala". Lineage: Eukaryota; Metazoa; Arthropoda; Insecta; Orthoptera; Acrididae. The record is from RNAcentral.
AGGGGUGUAAUUAAGCACAACAUUUGGGUUGCAUUCAAAAAGUAUUGAGUAUAUCAAUCACCCUUA